GGGGCGCACGCCGAACGGUUCGGCACCCGGCUUUUAACCGGAGACCCGAGGGUUCGACUCCCUCGCGCCCCA
This 72-nucleotide transfer RNA is filed under the name Myxococcales bacterium. RNAcentral's name for it is "tRNA-Lys". It matches the Rfam family "tRNA". From Rfam's summary of the family: Transfer RNA (tRNA) molecules are approximately 80 nucleotides in length. The record is from RNAcentral. RNAcentral also lists the same sequence under 1 other name. Lineage: Bacteria; Pseudomonadati; Myxococcota; Myxococcia; Myxococcales.